This 396-nucleotide ribosomal RNA is filed under the name uncultured bacterium. Its description in RNAcentral is "partial 16S ribosomal RNA". It matches the Rfam family "Bacterial small subunit ribosomal RNA", at positions 523 to 918 of the family's 1533-position model. The record is from RNAcentral.
AUACGAAGGGUGCAAGCGUUAAUCGGAAUUACUGGGCGUAAAGCGCGCGUAGGUGGUUUUGUAAGUUGGAGGUGAAAGCCCCGGGCUCAACCUGGGAAUUGCCUCCAAAACUGCAUGACUAGAGUACGGUAGAGGGUAGUGGAAUUUCCUGUGUAGCGGUGAAAUGCGUAGAUAUAGGAAGGAACACCAGUGGCGAAGGCGAUUACCGGGACUGAUACUGACACUGAGGGGCGAAAGGGUGGGGAGAAAAAAGGAUUAGAUACCCUGGUAGUCCACGCCGUAAACGAUGUCAACUAGCCGUUGGGAUCCUUGAGAUCUUAGUGGCGCAGCUAACGCGUGAAGUUGACCGCCUGGGGAGUACGGCCGCAAGGUUAAAACUCAAAGGAAUUGACGGGG